UUACACAUGCAAGUCGAGCGGUAAGGCCCUUCGGGGUACACGAGCGGCGAACGGGUGAGUAACACGUGAGCAACCUGCCCCUGACUCCGGGAUAAGCGGUGGAAACGCCGUCUAAUACCGGAUAUGACACACCAUCUCCUGGUGGUGUGUGGAAAGUUUUGUCGGUCAGGGAUGGGCUCGCGGCCUAUCAGCUAGUUGGUGGGGUAAAGGCCUACCAAGGCGAUUACGGGUAGCCGGCCUGAGAGGGCGACCGGCCACACUGGGACUGAGACACGGCCCAGACUCCUGCGGGAGGCAGCAGUGGGGAAUAUUGCACAAUGGGCGAAAGCCUGAUGCAGCGACGCCGCGUGGGGGAUGACGGCCUUCGGGUUGUAAACCUCUUUUACCACCAACGCAGGCCCCGGGUUCUCUCGGGGUUGACGGUAGGUGGGGAAUAAGGACCGGCUAACUACGUGCCAGCAGCCGCGGUAAUGC
RNAcentral lists this ribosomal RNA (474 nucleotides) under Nocardiopsis exhalans. RNAcentral's name for it is "bacterial SSU rRNA". It matches the Rfam family "Bacterial small subunit ribosomal RNA", at positions 49 to 526 of the family's 1533-position model. Lineage: Bacteria; Bacillati; Actinomycetota; Actinomycetes; Streptosporangiales; Nocardiopsidaceae. The record is from RNAcentral.